This 245-nucleotide ribosomal RNA is filed under the name uncultured bacterium. RNAcentral describes it as "partial 16S ribosomal RNA". It matches the Rfam family "Bacterial small subunit ribosomal RNA", at positions 109 to 354 of the family's 1533-position model. The record is from RNAcentral.
AGUAACGCGUGGAUAACCUGCCUUACACUGGGGGAUAACACUUAGAGAUAGGUGCUAAUACCGCAUAAGCGCACAGAGCCGCAUGGCUCAGUGUGAAAAACUCCGGUGGUGUAAGAUGGAUCCGCGUCUGAUUAGCUGGUUGGCGGGGUAGAAGCCCACCAAGGCGACGAUCAGUAGCCGGCCUGAGAGGGUGAACGGCCACAUUGGGACUGAGACACGGCCCAAACUCCUACGGGAGGCAGCAG